GGAGGGAGUCCGGGUGGUGAGGAAGCUGUCUUGAAAACAGUGGCCCCUUUGGGGUUGCGGGUUCGAAUCCUGUUCCCUCCG
RNAcentral lists this transfer RNA (81 nucleotides) under Candidatus Sericytochromatia bacterium. Its description in RNAcentral is "tRNA-Ser". It matches the Rfam family "tRNA". From Rfam's summary of the family: Transfer RNA (tRNA) molecules are approximately 80 nucleotides in length. Their secondary structure includes four short double-helical elements and three loops (D, anti-codon, and T loops). The record is from RNAcentral. Lineage: Bacteria; Bacillati; Candidatus Sericytochromatia.